UUACGGGAGGCAGCAGUGGGGAAUAUUGGGCAAUGGAGGAAACUCUGACCCAGCGACGCCGCGUGCGGGAUGAAGGCCUUCGGGUUGUAAACCGCUUUCAGCAGGGAAGAAGCGAAAGUGACGGUACCUGCAGAAGAAGCACCGGCUAACUAUGUGCCAGCAGCCGCGGUAAUA
This 174-nucleotide ribosomal RNA is filed under the name uncultured Actinomycetes bacterium. RNAcentral's name for it is "uncultured actinobacterium partial 16S ribosomal RNA". It matches the Rfam family "Bacterial small subunit ribosomal RNA", at positions 339 to 525 of the family's 1533-position model. Lineage: Bacteria; Bacillati; Actinomycetota; Actinomycetes. The record is from RNAcentral.